RNAcentral lists this ribosomal RNA (504 nucleotides) under uncultured bacterium. RNAcentral's name for it is "partial 16S ribosomal RNA". The record is from RNAcentral.
GGAGUUAGCCGGUGCUUCUUCUGUGAGUGAUGUCCUUCCUGCCGGUUAUUGACCCGCAGGCCUUCUUCCUCACUGAAAGUGCUUUACAACCCGAAGGCCUUCUUCACACACGCGGCAUGGCUGGAUCAGGGUUGCCCCCAUUGUCCAAUAUUCCCCACUGCUGCCUCCCGUAGGAGUCUGGGCCGUGUCUCAGUCCCAGUGUGGCUGAUCAUCCUCUCAGACCAGCUACGGAUCGUCGCCUUGGUGAGCCGUUACCUCACCAACCAGCUAAUCCGACAUAGGCUCAUCCGAUAGCGCGAGGCCCGAAGGUCCCCCGCUUUCCCCCGUAGGGCGUAUGCGGUAUUAGCCUGGGUUUCCCCAGGUUAUCCCCCACUACCGGGCAGAUUCCUAUGCAUUACUCACCCGUCCGCCGCUCGCCACCAGGGAGCAAGCUCCCCGUGCUGCCGCUCGACUUGCAUGUGUAGCNCGCCGCCACGCGUCAUCUGAGCAGAAUACAACUACUGA